GAGACUCUUAUUUUGAGCUAAAACAAAAUGAAAACAAACGUGCCACAAGUGCCUUUCGGUGGUUUUAAAAUCUUCCCAAUUGAAAUGUGCGAAUUCGCUUGGCUAUUGUCGAGCGUUUGAGUGUACGGCUCUCAACGCCUGGUACUUGUCUCGACGUUCCGCGCCUGUAUCCGCGACCGCUUGAGAUUGUGAGACGCUGUCGCCGACGUUCUCCCAUCCCAGGGUGGAUAACAAGUGGAAUACACUUCCAAGCAAUGUGCCAGGAUGCACGAGCUGCUGGCACAAGUUUUGGAGAACCGAGACCUGUCACGGGCAGGUGACCUGUUCUCGGUGGAGGACCAAAAGAUUGUGGGCGACCUGUCGGAGGUGCUGACCAAAAUCCGUGACAUUGCCAGCGGCUCGGACUUCCUUCACAGUGACAAUAUCCAAAGUGUGGUUGAGAUCUGCAUCACCAGGGUCACAUCUGCCAUCCGGGACACUGGGACCAUAGAGCAACAUGCACAUGCUCUGGUGGCUUUGUUGGAGUCCUGCCUAAACCAUGAUCUGCGUCCCUCAUCAAAAGAUGAGGAUCCACCACACGCUAAGAUUGCUUCCGACAUUGUCAGCUGCAUUUUUCUGAAUCACAACAAGAAGUCAGUAAUGAAGCUGGCACUCCCUGUUGCAAUCAAGUUUCUGCACCGAGGCAACAAAGAACUGAGUCACAACCUUUCCCGCUAUCUCUCACUUGCUGCUGUCAACAACGCUGAGCUGCUGUCCCCGCACGUGCAGCCCAUUGUGGACAGCGUUAUCAGUGGCAACUAUGCCCUUGCCCGAGUGCUGCCCUCCAUUUACGUUGUGAAGAAGGAGCCCAUCCAUGACCACCUGAUGGCGCUCAUUUCGCUGCUGCCCCUUUGCGAGAGCUCUGACAAGCUCAACUUGCUUGCCCUCUUUGAGCUGGUGGCCAAGCACAAGCCCUCUCUCCUCGAGAGCAAUGUGCCCCAGCUGAGCAGUUGCCUAGGCAGUCCAACCACGACGGGCUCUGUGCUGAAGAUCUUCCAGGAGCUGGCAGCGGCCAAGCCCCAGCUGUUUGCCGAGUACUUGCCCAAGAUGAAGGCAGUGGCCCUUGCUCAACCAGUCCACCUCACAUUGGUGGCGCACAUCAUGGCUACUGUGGGACGGCUGAGUGCGGAGCGUGCCCAGGAGUGCUUGGAGUUUCUGGUUAGCCAGCUGUCCAAAGGGGACCACAACACACAGCUGGCACUCCUGCGGGAAGCCAAGCACCUAGGAGAUGCCUUCCCUGCAUUGCUUGCCCCUUGCUUGCCGCAGAUCUGCAGUCAGCUACCAGAGCCAGUGGCCUCAUCCACAAUUCGCUUUUACCUGCACCAGCUGAAGGCAGAUGCCGCCACAGCAGCCCACAGAGCACAGGUGGUGAACCGGACAGGAGGUGUCACGAUCGUCAAAGUUGGUGGCAGCAGACACGAUCUUUCAUCCAACCGGGGUGCCACCAUGCCGGCUGUGGCGGCAGGGCGUGCCCCAUUGGGCAAUGCUGCUGGUCAGGCUUCGAGGGCAGCUGGCAUGUUGGGUACUUCAUCACAGGAGGCUAGUGCGCGUUCCCUGGGCCACCUGGGUUCGGGCCAGCUUGCCCACCGGAGCAUGACCCGCUUGCCCUCGGCAAAUCACAUGCACCAUGCAGCUCCCCAUGCACAGAGCAACAGCCGGCUGAGCUCUCCAUGUGGCCUGCAUAUGAGCAUGUCGAAGCUGAGCUCCAACUCACCCGUCAACCGGAGCCUCUCUGCACUCAACAGUCGGCACAACCUAAGCUCAGUCCCGGCCCCAGCAGCGCACACGAGUCGUGUGUCCAGCUGUGGUGUCACUGUCACAACCACCUCGGCCCACAAGAGCAUGAGCAUUCCAACACUGAUAGAAGAAGCGCAACCAUCGCCAGUGAUAGGUCGUCAUCCUGUCCUGACUGUGUCCAUAACCAGCAAUGUGGCAAGGCGGGGGCCAGCAGAUCUGGGAGGUGGGGCGCUUGAGGGAGGCUCCUCUCCAAAGGGGGCGGUUCCUAGUCCUUCCCCACCCCCGCUGGGCCCCACCCCCUCGUGCUCCUCCUCGUCUGCCACACCGCCCCCCUACGCAGAAGGGGGAACGUCGUCUUCCUCACGCCUCGGCGCACCUCACAGCGGCUCACUCAGCUCGGGCUGCAACCAACAGCAUUUGAAGGGCAGCGGUGGAGGCACAAGCUCGGCUACUGAGGAUGAAACUGUGCCAGUGGUGCCACGCAAGGUAGUUCAAUCUAAUGCACAGAGGAUAUCUGUGUUUGAGCCAUACCCAAUGCGAGAUGCAGUGCAGCACUUUUGUGAGAAACAUCUAGACAAGAUCAAAGCAUACAUGCAGACCAUUUUCGUCAAGCUCCCACUGCCAUCUAAGUGCACCAUCGAAGAAAGGCGUGCCAAGAAACAUGCCAUUCUUCAGUUCGCCUGCCAGGGGAAAGGGGAGCACUGCCUGUACAACAAGAGCCUGUUUGUCAUGAAAACCAAGAAUCCACGCAUAUGGAUCCACCUCAUGUUUCUUGCACUGCAGGCCCGUUCCACAAGUGCCCUGAGUACACGUGAGUCAUCUGUGAGCAGCCUGAAAAAUUGCUGGGACACACUGAAGUAUGAUAACAAGUCAUUCCUAGCCUUGGUGACCUCAUCAUUCCCGUCUGCAAAGGACCAGGACAACCUGAUAGCUGAGCUGCGUAGUGAGCGCUUUUUUGAUGUGUUCGAGUACAAUGGGCCACUGACCCUGUGGGGCUGCUUCCUGUGCAACCACCCUGACCGAGCCCAAGGUUUUCUCCAGGAAGGCGGCGAGCCCGUCAUUGAGGGGCAACUGAAAGAGAAGAAGAGAAAAUGGAAGUUAUUUCGACACUGGAGAACGCGCUACUUCACACUUUCGGGUGCACACUUGUCCUACAGGGGACUGAAGGAUGACAAGGAAGUGCAGCCCAUUGAGGUGAGCCAGAUCAGAAGUGUGCGCCCCAUUGGGAGCCGGGGUCGCAACAUCCCCAAGGCCUUUGAGAUCUUCACUUCGGACAAGACCUUCGUGCUGAAGGCCAAGGACAGCAAAAAUACCGAGCAGUGGGUACAGUGCUUGUCCAUUGCCUUGGCUCGGUCACAUGCUAAGGAGGUUGCUCACUGACAUAGGGAGUCCCACGUUUUUUUGUUUUUUUUUCCCCAUGAGGCUUGAAAUUUGAUCCCGAUACAAAGCCAAGCAUUGGGGAAAACAACAUCUCAGAGUAUGAGACAAGGCAUGAGCUACCAUUAUUUGCCUCAUUCGAUAUUGCAGUGCUGUUUUUCACAAUGCAGAAUUGCCAACUCGCCCUAGGAGCUUUCUGUUUGCGGGAAAAGCCGUGUGUUCUACAGAAAGCAUUGCUUGUCUUCCAUCAACUUGACAUUCUUGUCAUGCAAAACUAUAUAUAUAUAUAUUGUGCAAGUUUGAAGAUGAGAUAGUAUUUUCAAGGUUACAAAGCUUCUGCAAGCAAGAUGCAGUUGAUGUGUUUAUAUAGUAUAUCUGAACACCAGUGUGCCUCUUCAUAUGACGUUUACAGUUAAUUGUAGCAGGCAUCAUUUUGCAAGCACUGUGCAAUUGUUGGUCCCAGCUUUCCGGUUGUACACAUCAAUGAUGAGAACUUACAUCAGCCAUUCAACUCUUGAACCAUUCCUUUAAAAAAUUGUACUGAAUAUCCACAUACUCUGUUGUGAUUUCAAAAAGCUACAUAUGCAAGGUCGUUGGAAGUGCAUGAGAGUUUGAAGCUGGGCUAUACUCUAUUUAUUAAUUAGUGUGCAAUGCUGUGGAAGCUAUGGAAUACGUUUAAUAAUCAAAAUGUAUAACUCCGCACAUUUCUGGGUCAAGCUUCAUGGUCGCAUGUGUUUGCACAAGCCCAGCGCGAGCCUGUGUAUGAGGUACUGCGACAGGGCGCAAAUGAAAAACCCAAAGAGAAAAACAACAAAGCGUAAAUUGAUUUAAAACACCUCAUUAGCAGCCACAUAAUGCAGUUUGUUAAUUUUGAAGCUAUAAUUUUUUUCUUUUCAUUUAUUACUGAGCCUAAAUAAAGAGCAAUCACACGUAAUUGCUGGUAAAAAACACCAAACUAUUUCUUGGUGCAAACGCAGCUACAGCAAGAAGUCUUGCUAGCCUCCACAGCAUUGCAUGCCAUGUAUGAAAUGAAGUCUAGUUUGUUUUCAAUCAAUGGGGGUGGCAUCAAGUGCAGGUAUCCUGUUUGUAUAACUGGUCUGUGCUGUUAGCCAUGUUGAAUCUUCUUGCCAUUGAAAGCUUAUUUUUCAGACAUAUCCACAAACAGUCUGCUUUGUGUGCAUGCUUAUUUCAACCACCUAGCGUUUUGUUUUUCAUUAAUGAGCAUACACUCAGUGUUGAGCUGUCUUAGUUCAUUUGCAUUGUUGCACCAAGAGAGUUCUUCCAUCUAUAGCAUCAUUAAAGGCAGGAAUAGGCAUGACUAGCAACACAAGAGGUGCCUACCUAUGCUGACAGUGCAAGGUUUAUUCCAUGUUGCAGUAGGGCGGUACUUUGUCUUGGUAAGGAGUUUUAAUUGCCAGGACGCUAUGUGCCCCUGACUGCAAAGGUUUUUUGAGCAUGUGCCACACUGAGUCGCAAAUUGGUUUGAAAAUUUUUCUUCUAUGUUCCAAAAGCAUUUGUAGUUGGCUUUAAAUGUGUAAAUGUUUUUGCUCCGUCCAACUUGCAUUGCACGUAAGGAGUAGAAGUGGUUGUGGAAUUUGAAGUCCCGCCUACACGUACAUUUGCUGGCCUGUGCAAGCUCACAUCUACAAGCCUCAGCACAUCCAUGAGGAGCGUGCAUCAGCUCGUGCGUGUCAGAGCAUGUGCAGGCAAAGAAUCCGCACCAAAAGAUGUAGGCACUUGUGCUGGCUUGUGUUGCCAUUCGUCUGGAGCGAUGUGAUGGACAGAGAUUAAUCAGAGGACAUGGUUGUCUGAAUGGUGUCUCGACCACUGUGGUCUUGCCGAUGAGAGGGCCCAUCAUGACAGCCAUGGAAUCUAUGCAGCCACAGCGGGAUACAGACCGGCUUUCUCCUGCACCAGCUCAAGUUAUGUCAUGUGAGGAAGCGCUUCCUCCUUUUUUUCUGCACUGAUCUUGCUACUCAAGAAAACAUUUUUUUUACGGAUUUGUUAAGCAUCUAGAAGCAUUACAGCAUUACAGUAAAACCUCGCUAAUUCGAUCUUUGUUAAUUUAGAAAAUUGAAUAAUUUGGACUUGUCCUCUGGUCCUGGUAGGCAUGUGCAUUAUUUAAUGGAAUCAAACUCAUUAAUUCGGCCAUAUUUGGCUGCACACCGGUUAAAUUGGACAGCUCUCGAAGCUCGGCGAGUGCGAAGCACCGCAAUAAAGUAAAAGCGUCGCUAGCAUCCAACAAAGCAACGGAGUCUGCAUUGCCGUAGUGAUCAGUAGAAAUCGUACGUGAAUGACAGGAACACUGGAAUGCUUCGUGACUAGUUGUGCCUUUAUAGCCUUUUGUUCUUAAAUUUAUUGCAGCGCAUAACACCAAGGUGGCCGCGUGUUUUCAUAACUACGUAGUAGCCAUCCAUGAUCGUGUCAAUAGCAACCAUGGUUUCGUCCUCAGUGGUUACGGCAAACAGUUUAAUUUUUACUUGGUGUGUGCGUAGGCCGCGUGCCUUCAAACCUGUGUGGUCACCGUCCAUGAUUGCGUCAGCAGCGGCCCUAAUGUUUACCGCAGAGGUUGUAGUAAACAGUAGUUUCGUUUUGACUAAGUGCAAUGGUUGUGCAUGCAAUGUCACAUACACGGCGGAAGCAGUCGAGGUUGAAGAAUGCCAGCUACAUUGUGAUGGAUGGACAACCUGUUGGCGAUCAGCUCACUGGCGAAAAAAUAAUCGGGAUGUGCGGGCGGCAGUGAAAAGUGUGUCUCGAAUAAAGACGCUGGCCGCGGCCACGCUGUAAAGGAACUUGUGAAGCCUUCGCCGCUGCGAGCGCUAAUCAGCCACGAGAUGACAAGAAUUGCAGCUUCCACACUGCUUUCGUGCAAAAAAGGAACAUGUUUUACAGAUUCAUUCAGUAAAUAAAUGUAUGUUGACAUAAUAAGCAUCUCCUUAUUGGUAUCUUGAUACCCUCGAUAAUUCUACACUGGGUAAUUUGAACAUUUUUCUUGGUCUCGUGAAAUCAGAAUUAAUGAGGUUCUACUGUAUAAAUUAAGCUCACUAAAAGGUAGCGUCAUGCCUAGCACAUAUCCUUUGCAGAUGCUGAUUGCCAUUCCUUGCAAGGUGUGGCAGGCACAUAAACAUGUAGGAGUGCACUGACGUGCACUGGCAAGCAUACAUGUAGUCUGGGCUUAAGGGGGCCCUGAAACACUUUUUGAGCAUUGUAAGAAAAUGUUGUCGAUCUGUUAACAAGGCUCCUGUGAACAUGUGAGCCAAAUAUUAUUGCACUGCAUGCAGCAGGAAAUUUACAAUCUCGUGUCAAAAGCAAGUAAGCAUCACUUGCUCUCGCUUCCGCAAUGUCGUCGUGCAGCGUCAUCGCAGGCAGCUGGAACCACAACAGCUAUUGGCUGAUUUCAUGAUUGUAAGGACAUUUUUAGUAAUACAGUUACGGCUCAUUUCAGUUAAAUAAAUGAAAAAUGUAUAUGUCUGCGAUUUGAAAAAGACACAGAAACCAUUUUUGCACUGCCAGUCCAAAAACAGCAGUUGGGCGUGGCUGCGUUUGGUGCACGUGGCUUCCGAGAUGAAAAAGCACAGUGUAGAUACCGUGGCCUGCAGGGGGUGCCGCCAUGAGCCGUCUUGCGUUCAACCUUUCGGAAUCGGCCAGCGGGGCAUUGCUCCCUCGCGCCCCCUUGCCGUCUCCCAUGUGUAGUUUCCAGCACGCUUGUGGAAAUGAAAGGAGAGAGAAAGCCGCUGAUCAGUCCAGUAGCUGCAUCUAAUCUCUUGUACUUGGAAGAAAUCAAAAAAAUUUUGCGGCAAGAGAUUUGUGAGGCGACUUAACUUAAUAGUGAUGCAUGAAUGUUUCAGUGUUUCAGUAAGUGUUUCAGGGCCCGUUUAAGGAUUUUUUAGAAAGAGAUGUGUCUUAUGCCAUUGGUCAGAAAGAAGCCUGGCUGUGCUCAUCUCGGAAAAACACGUGUCAUAUUUUUAGGACCAGUGUGUACAUUUAAAAUGGUAAGGUUAAUGCUGCACCCUAGUUUUUAUUUUUCCUACUUGCUGGCAAGUAAGUUGGUGUGCUAUUUUUAUUGUAUAAGAGAUAGUUAAGGUUACUGUCACUCAGUGCCUUUCCACUGCCCUUUUAUUGGUGUUUAUUACCACAACAUGUGUAUUUCGUGUCAGAUUUAAAAAAAGUACCACUCUCAUGAACACACAUCAAGGCACACUUUAACAGCAAAAAAGAGUUGAUCCCACAUAACAUGCAACUGUUGAAACUCAUUUUCUAAGCACUGCCUAGUUAGUCCAAAACUGUUCACUUUUACAUAUUAUUUCUUUCCGAUUUCAAAAAGCAAUGUUGCUUUCUUUUUCAUUGUAUAUUUACAAUUACACCAUGUUCCCACAAUGUUUAUACACUGCUUUCUGUAUCAAUCUAAUUCCUUUUCUCUAUGGAAGAGUGUAUUGGUUACAAGUCUGUAAGGUCUAAACAUGGGAGUUUCACUUCUAUUAUAACACUCUCGCCUUUCUCUGUUAAAAGGACACUAAAGGGAAAUACUAAGCCCGCUAAAGUAAUAGAUUAGUACUCAAAAAUGUCUAAGGGGUCAAUAUUAUUGAGAACAGAGCCUUAGUAACUGAGAAAUUGAGGUAAAUAUACGAUGUGAUUUGUGACCCUUAACGGUCGCACAUUGUAGUACUAGCCUAAUGAUGUAGCAACUCCUCAUUAUAAUUCUGUCACUAGUGCUUAACCGCUGAUAAUAAAAAAAAUAUUGCAUUGCAUUAUAAGAUGGAAGAAAAUGCCACUUGUCCAGUUAUAUUUGAUUCUUAUAAAACUCAUUGACAUUACCCUUGACACGAUGCGGCAGAUGGUCAAAAGGUUCAGUUUUUGCUCGACUGUGCUCUCUUGUAUUCAUAUUUUCUGUACCGCGUAGUGCUGCUGUUGUUUUGCUGUCUCCCGAAGCUCGCAUGAAAGAGUCAACCAUGUGCACAUGAUAUUCAAGCGGCAGCAGCACAAGGGAAGCAUCCUGUAGCAUCGUAUCUCACUAGGAAACUAUAUAUAUGUUUAUAAAAUCAAAAACACUGCGUAGAAUGGCACAAUAAAGUGAGACAAACACUGGCGCAACAUCACUAAAAAAAGUAGCGACAAACUUUCAUUGUUGUCUGAAUAAAUACAAUCGUACGCCCAUGAAAAAUAUCUAAUGCUCCGCGAGGCCAACAUUGUAACCAAAGGAUACUAGAUCUAGUUUUAACAUGCCGUCAUUGCCAGUAAAAAUGCAUUCCAUGCCACCAGUGGUAAAUGCUGUGGUGCCAUCUGAUCACUAGAAGUCAGAACACUUUCAUGACUCCAUGGCCUACGAGAUAGUGUGCGCACACGCAAUAUCGGAUACUUUGCACUCAGUGUGAAAUGAGACAAAGCGAAGACUGAUUUUACUAUUUAUUUCUUGCUGUCACGGAUGAAAGCAAGUAAAGAGAGUGAAUUUGGUUAAAAGCGGGCGCAUUGGUUGCUGUCAUAUUCUUACACAAUUGCACGAUAACGGGCGGGCUGUUGCGCGGAAUUCAGGGAAACAAGCAAAAUUUUUGGAAGCAGCAGAAAAUGCCAUGUCCAUGUGAUGUCUUAGGAUGCUGUCGUUCGUGUCUUUACUCGGUUUCUAGCCCUGCUGUUGCAUAUUAUGGAGGAAAAAAAAAAAAAAAAACGCAGUGCCGGCUGUCGAAUGGCGUUUUACUCACCGAUGGCAGUAAAAGGCGGUGAUGGCGUGUUUCAGUGUCAGACCUCCUAUUUCAUGGCAGGUGAUUUGAAUGGCUCUAAAGGAGUGCUGGCAUUUCAGACUGGAUUUUCUCUUAAACUAAGCAUUUUCUUGGCACAAAACAUGCACUGCGUGAUUUCUGGAAUGGUAUUUCAACAGUCCACGUUGACGUACUAUUUGCUUUUAGUGUUCCUUUAAUUGUAUGGCCCACUCAACUGCCUAGUGCUUUAAGAAAUGGGAACCCAUAUUUAUAUACAAGCUUGCCACCCUGCAAGUCAUUUCAAAAUGUAUUAGUCUUCACAUCUUCAUUUAAGUUUCAAGAAGCUUUGCUGUUUGAUCCUUGAUGUGCAGUUGGAUAGCUCUUAGAGGAGGCCUUUAACAGGUGUUAACACGUUGAAUGAAUUAGCGCAGUCUAUAGAACUUGUGGGUUGUAAAUGUACUUGCCUAAUCUUGCAGUACUAGCUAUUUUGCUAUACGCGAUACCUAAUUUCUAUUUUUUUUGUGUGGCUGCGGCUUAUAUAUGGAAGAAUAUGUAUAUUAGUUGUUGUGAAUUCUUAGCAAACAUUGAAUACUGAAAUCAAGCUAUAGCUAAUAUAAAAUAGCAUAAUAUUUGACCAAAUAUUCAAAAAUAUUGAAUAUUCGCUUAAGCCUAGUAUUUCGAUCAUUGGCAUGCUCUCGAUGCAUUCGACAAAAGUAGUCAAUGCAUGCACCAUAUCUCCAUCCUAUGACAUUGUGAACAAAAGUCUACUGUGCUCCAACAGGCGAAUGAUUGCAGGUUUCUUUAGAGCAGUCGUUUCACGGCACUUCAUUCACUUUAUUACCACCCUCAUCAACGCCGGGAUGGAGGGUGGAGUUGGUGUCAUUUGUAGCUGCCUGACAAUUCUGAGUGAGAAAAAUUCAUAACAGCAGUCAGUGAAGUCACCUGACACCGUGUUGCUAUUUAACUCGUAAAGGAACAAGCGCUGUGCAUGCAGAACAGGCACAAUAAAUUGCCAAUGCAGACCUUAUUUCAGAACUAACUUCAAAACUUAUUGGCAUCACUUGACUUAGUUUCUCCUGAGGUUUUGGUGUGGCCGGCAACUACUGGCUUCAUUACUUUCAGUUUCAAAGGGGCACAGGUAACAUAUCAAAACAAACACUUUGAUCGAUUUGCUCUUCUGACUGACGAAAUUAGCAAGCAGUUGUGCAGCCGGAGUCCGAAUUAUAGAAUGGUGUACUGUAAGUAGCCCAAAAGUUUGCUCGUCUUUAUAUGUUAUGUCUAUAAAGGUGAAUUGUGGUGCCACGAAGCUGACCGAAUAAUCGAGCAUGUACGAAAUAUCAGUGUCUAAAUAAUUGGGUAGCAAUGUGCAUAUAUAGAGAGGUAAAAUCGACAAACACAAGUAGCUGCAACUUUUCUUGCGCUGAUGUAAUUUUAUCUGUCUGCAACCGGCAAACGCUCUUCACGUCUGCUGCUUUUGUUAUUGGUGAAGGAAGCAUUGCAGCUAGCAAACGUCACAUGGAGACAUUUCUGCUUCUUGAUAAGUUGUGCUUGUACCUUGCAUAGGUUGCAUGCAUUUUACACUCACUUGUUUCACAUGAGAAGUGCUUGUGGGAAGAAACACAUAUUGUGGCAACUUACAUUCACUAGAAAUCAAGAAGGAUAUUCGCAUUGCACUUUGGUGUAGGCGCUCAUGUGGACUGGCAUUUCUCAGCUCACCUUCAUAGGCCAAAAACCGCAGUUGUGUUAGGUAAGAGUAAAGGUACAAGAAUUUAUGGUGCUAGGACAAAAGUCAACAAGCGCUGUUUGCACUGUGUCCAAGAUGAAGUUACGCCAACUUACCUAUUUGUUUUGGUCUGUAAACCAAACAUCAGCCUGGCUAGUCCUCGUAGUGAAAAAAAAAAAUAACAAAAAAUGGCACCUUGAGGGCUGAGAGUGAAACUGUUGAUUGUAGGGUCGACUGUAACUAUCAGUAUAAAAAACUUUUUUGUGUUCUAAGUGGUUUAAGGAAUUAGUGAUUGUUCAUGCAUUCCAAGAUGGGAUUUCUUUUUUUCUCAAAAGAUUGCUUUGCAGCGUAAAACGUAUGAAGCGUGCUAUAUGUACAUCAAACAUUAUUUUUGCUGUAGCUUAUGCUCAUGCCUAUGCACACACCAAAUUUUCAUUGUGCUGAAGCAUGUUUGAGCAGAAUCCAAGGUGAACUUACAUUAUCAUUGUUCUUACUAGCUGCUUCAGAAUUUGGCAUUAGCCUUCUACCAUUCACUUCCAUUAAUUCAACCCUGAUGGGGCCAACGGACAUUUAUCGGACAAUUAUCGGGCAGGUCGAAUGAAAUGAGAUGCAGAAAAAACGUCACAACACACUGCUGAUUUAUUUGGCAUAAUUUUCCCAAUUCUAACAUGCGCCAAUUUUCUAUGGGUACAAAGUAGAAAAACAAUUUAGAAAUGACAUUAAAGCUCCUAAACAAAGUUUUCAAAUGCGCACCUGAUUUUUUAGCAAGAAAAAUGGGCAAGGAUCUAAUAUGUGUUGGAACAAUGGCAGCCAGUUUCCUAAAAUCAACUUUGCCACACGGUUUAUUAAAGUCAGCUUCGCCGCUAUUAAUCCGUAUUAUGCGGUAAAGCAUACAAACACCGCAACGCCGAGUUUGGUUUCGUAUCCGCCUGCACUGUGCAGGCAAUUUCUGGCCCAAUAUUUUUUUUUUUAAACAGGGCGCAUGUUAGAAUAGGGUAAAACAGUAAUCAGACAUUGAGAGGUACUGUUAUUGCUUGAAGAUAUUCCCAGGGAACACUGAAAAUAGGCAUUUUGGACGGGAGAUGAUGCGUGUUCAACGCACUGACUGUCCCCUAAGAUCUGCCGAGAUAGACGCUGCUACUAAAGGAGUCGCUAUUGGGGGUCACCCUAGGGGCCAAGUGCAUGGAUGCAGACUGGUCAAGAUCGAAUUAUCUGUCGAAGGCCAAUUUUAGGAUCGAAUAAUGAAAGUUUGGGCCCAUAGAAAUGCAUGGGCACGCCAGCUGGGACCUUCGAUCGUGAUCGAAUUAACUGAAAAAUCUAAUUAGCUGGAAAUUUUGUUACAGCCAGGCGUUCAUAAAUCAACUACAUCCAUAAGCUCGAAGCAAUCCACAAUGACGUGAAAAUCAAAUAUUUUUUUACGCUGUACACUCGCCGGCAAGAAUUUUCACGCUUCCAGAGGAAUACAUGUGUGUCCCUUGCAAUCGGCGCUCUGUGUCAGUCUUGUCGAAAUUACCUGCGCCGAUUAGAAAUUUUUAAUCUCCAUAGAGCCUGGCAUCCUUGUUUUUAAGGGCAAGGCCGGCAGACAGCCUCUACAAGCUAUUAAAAACAUAAGUAACGUUUUAAAGCCACAAAAUUUGCGAUAAUAGCCAACCUUUUACAGCACAGCGAAAGCUUGCAUUGCGCGUCUUUGAGCCCAUAAAGCUCCUGUCGCCCCCUGGCGACCGCCGUAUAAACUCGAGAGGUGCCGCGACGCGCUUGCGGCGCUCGUUUGGCUACCUCUCCUAUGCCCCGCGCCUCGGCGGUGGAGGGUACAGGAGAAGGAAAGGGAGGAGGAGGAGUACGGGCGAGGAGAAAUAGGUUACGCCAGCGAGGAAUUUACCGCUGUGAACCUCGCAUUCUAUCAUAGUAAUGAUGUUACUAGAGAAAAGUACAAUUAUUUCUGCCAAAAGAAGCCACACAGACAUUAGUGUUUCAGGUGUUCAUUUUUACAAGAUAAUAUUGUCAUCUAAAAGGGAGUAUAAAAGCAACUGUCCUAAUUGCUUACCCCUGUAACUUAGCAGAUAUGAUGUGAACGAUCCUCUCUCAGUCAUCAUAAAAGCCGUCUUUAUGUUUACGGUUUGAUGCCAUUAAUAGCUUGCCAAUAUUAACUCCUUUAUAUAGCAACACAACAGACUAUGAUGUUUAUUUUGCCUCGUGUCACUUCUGCAGGUUACUUGCAUUUUGUUAGCACUAAAGCUGUGUCCUUCUUUCUUUUCACUAUUUUACAUACCGUAAACCUUACUAUUUCAGUUCUUACUAUUUUGAUUACAGGCAGACUUUAUUGACUUUGAGUGGCCACUUUGCUCUCCAAGCAGUGCAGGUACAGUCGAACCUCAUUAUGACGAAGUCGCAUUUGACCCAAAAAAAGUUUUGUGAUAUAGCUUUGUUAAAAUAGCUUCACUAAACAGAUUCGUUAUAAACAUACAUCUGUUACAUUGUAAUAGUGGCGAGACAAUUUUUAAUUUAAUUUGGUAUAUCUUACGAUUUGUUAUAGCUGUGUUCAUUGUAUCGAGGUUCGACUUACUGCUACACCACAGAAGAAUGCCACCACCCUGCAUACUUUCAAUUUUUGUAGCACCACACAUUUUCAUUUCCUUUGAAUGGUGCUGUGUGUGUGUACAUGUUGAAUUUGUUAUGUCUGACAGAUGCACAGCAUGAUGCCAGUGUCAUCUCUGUUGCAAGAUAUGCUUUGUGCUGUGUGCAAGUAAUUCAUGGAAUGUUGUAUCUAGCGACGUAUAGCUAAGGCCACCGUACAUCGUGAGUCCUGACUGCAUAAAUGUUACUCAGUAGUGCCUUAAAAUAUUCUCCUGUAGCCCUUCAUCUGUCUUAGGGUUUCUUUAUUUUAUGUGUGCUGUGUUGCAUGUUCAGCAUAGCAUCUGCAAUGCCAUGAAAACAAACCUACCUCGUCAUUCCUGCUGUCGAAGUGAAAUGGUUUUUGUUUAUUUGUAGUUUUUCUUUUGUAUUGCUUAUCAGCAGAAUACCAGUUGUUUUUUGCUUCAUGAAUAUGACAACUUGUACUCACUCUGGUGACAAAAAAAAAAAAAAAAUGCAUGCAAGUUCCAUUACCAACUUGGAGCUUAUGGUAUGUAUUGCUUUGAACCUGUAUCUCUUAGCUAUGUAGUACUACUAUAUUUUUCUUGCUUAGGUGCCUCUGAUGGGUGGUGCCAGUGGCUAGUUCUUUAUGCCUUGAGAAUACAUCAUGCGUGUUUUGUUGUAUUUGUGUAUACAAGGAUGAAAACACAGAGAAAUAAGCUGAAGGCUGAUCAGUGCAACAAAUGCAUUAAUUUUCACUCACAACCCUGGAACAGAGAGGUAUAGCCCUUAUCCAUGCAUCCUAGGUCAUCUUCCUUUGUGUGCUAUCAAUGCACUUAAAGGUACAUUGACAAAACAUUAGUUCUAGCUUAAUUUGUAGGCUGUAUUUCAGAGGUAGCACAUAGAUUGACCCAACUCGGAGCAGAGGUUUGGUUUGUGGAAAAUUAUGUUAGAGCAAAAGAUGGGUGGUAAUACUACCUUCAUGCUCCAAAGGACUUCCCAAGGUGCCAUUGUCUGUGGAAGCCUGUGACACCUUGGGAGGUCUUUCAUGAAGCUAGAUUAUUUUCAAAAAUUCAAUUUCAUUGCAUCAACAUGUAGAACAAAUUUCAACCUGGCAUCCUUUGCAGUCUUCUCCUGUAUAGAAAGCAUACAAACUUCCCCGGCCAUGAAAUCUUGGGCAUGAUGCAAGGAAAUCAUUGCUGCCAUUAUUAUUUUUUUUUUUACAAAGAAACUAAGAAAAAGAAAUUCAGCCUCCAAUCAAGAUUAUCUUAAUCAUUCAUUACUUCUUUUUUGCGCCAAAUGUUUGUAGACAGAAUUGCAAAAGAGCAAUGCACUUGGCCUAGCCUGACUCGGCACUUUGCUUUGUGGCCCCUUUAAUGUAUUGCGCUGUGUCUCCAUUAACUUGUGCACCUUGCCUUAUAUGAGCUGUCAGGCCAUUGCAAAUAGAAUUUUGGUUUUCACUGUGUUGUUCAAGCAGCUUUCAGCAGCACUUUCAUUAUAAAUACAAAGACAGAUUGCACCAUACUUUUCUCUGCUAGGCGUUUGUGUCCAUUGGUCAAUUGGAUAUUUGCUUCUAAUGUAAAUGCACAGCCUUCUGAAACUUGGGAGCUGUGCUGUAUGAAGUUAUAGUAGUUCAUGAAUUACUGCCUUCUCUUUGCUCUCAGUUUCCCCAUAGCAUUUAUAUUAAGGGAGACUUCCUUCUGGCUCUCCCAGUGUUAAUGGGAGAGAACAGACAGUUCACCAAUUUUACUGCCACUGCACUGGUUAACAGAAUCCAGGUCCUUUUAGCACUGUAGUAAACGACUUUGUGUUCUUGAAACUUGCUUGUUUCAGAGCUCAAAUUGUCCUGACAUGAGCCAAGAAUAGGUUGAACUGGAAGUGUGUAGCUCUGGUAGUUCCAUUGUUUCUAAUCUAUAUAUUUGAGAAGGUGCUUUUGAGUGAACUGUGCCACUCACAUGAUGCGUUUAAAAGCUCGCUGCACAACUGUGACCACUUUUAUUUAAAAUAUUUGCUAAUAUACUGAACACACACUUACAUUUAUGAUGUAAAAUGUUUCCGUACAAAGUAUUUUGUGGUUCCUAUUUAUUAUUUUAAUUGAACAAUUCUUGUGUCUAAUGCUGUGUCUAUUACUUUUAUUCCCUGUGCCCAGCUUUCAUGAGCCACUUUGUUUUGACAUGUUCCUUUGCCUUUUGACUGCACUGGUAGGUAUUGUAACUGUACAUUUUUUCUGCCUGAAUGCUGUAGGUAAGUUGUGCAUCUUUAUAUCGCCCUCAGCCUUCACCAUAGCCAACAUAAUUGAUGUAAAUGUGGAACUGCUGUUGAAGAACUCGUAUAGGAAGCAUGAAGUGGCAUCUGUACUGGAGCAACUUGAAAUGUGUUCAUUGACCAAUAAGUAGUUUCUGAGGAGAUCUCUUCUGUGCACCUGUCAUGAGAGCAACAUUAUAAAGCAGCACUGCUUUAUUUUAUUACUGUGAGAUCUGCCAAACCUCACUAAAAGCUAAUAAGUAUGCAUUGUGAGGGUUCACCUUAUCAGUAAGCUCUGCAAAGACAUGCUGUUAUUCCUUCUUGCAGUCUACUUGCCUCCCUUUUCUUUUUCUGUUUUCCAUGGUGAAUAAGAUGUAAAAAUGCUGCUGUAGUUAUAUCGUCUUUAUCACCCAAUUUUCUUAUACAAACUGCACAAAAUCUUAUAAGUGUAGUAGUGUUUGUGACAGAUCGUAAGACAUACAUGAUGACCAGCUUUUAAGUUGCUUGCAGCUGCUUGAUUAAGGAAACAUGUAUUGCAGUCUGUAUGUUUACUGCUACAAGCAUUAGGGGGCACUGGAGAAAAAUAUGGAGUCAUGCUAGUUUUGUAGAUAGCAAUUUGCAAAAGGCAAAUAGGACAAAUUAUUCAAAACAGGAUUUCAGUAUGCCAGAAUAUAAUGUCAAGUGAAAGAAUGGGGUUAAUGCCACUGUCAAGUUCCUGGAGUAGAAUAAAAUUCCAGUGCGUUUUUAUUGAAAAAAUUAUUGCUUACCACCAGCGCCACUGCCCACAUCUGUGCCUUCAUGUGUUUCUGUACAUGUCUUAUUAAUAUGUAAGAUAAUUUCAGACCAUUAGAUAAUAAAAUAAAAUUGAUCCUGACAGUUCUGGGGGGAUUUAACUGCAGAAAAGGGCACUAAAAUUAGUAGAGAGCAUUCCAAAAUAUUUUGAUGACAUUACAGAAUAUCUUAUUCAUUACUGCUUUAGCUUGGGUGCAUGAAAAAUUGAGAAAGGACAGUUUGGCUUCAAUUGCUAUUUUCUAUGCUAACAAGUCUGCUAAGAGAUUUCCAAAAGAGCAAUCUUCCUUUUAAGUCCCUACCCUUUGGCAUCCCUUUAAUCAGAUCAGUCUAAAAGCUUCUGCCAAAAACUGAAGUGUAUAAAUUUUGCAUGCAAAUGCCACAGAUCUAUCUCAGGAUCAACACAAACUACCAUGUCACCAGAGUUGGGAACAAUAACCCCAUAUCUUAUUGGGGACGUAGCUUCUUUGAGCUAUGUCAUAAUCAGAUAGGGGAUUUCUGUCUUGCAUUACUUGCUUCUAUUUCUCUCUGUCAAUCGUUCAGUGCUUCCUCUGGUUCUUGGUACUUGAUGCGUUUAUCAGCAUUUUUGCAGCACCUUUUUUUUUAGGAAGACCUCAGUUCGUCUUGCCAAGUUAUUGUCCUUGGUUUCCUUAAUUUAAGCCACUUGCAGUGUUAUGAACAUUAACCUUUUUUGUUGAAAUCAUUUCACUUGCUACAGGAUUGUCGGUUGUACGAUUUUGUUGCAAGCUUGUUCCUUUAACCUUGUUAGAAUAGAGCUCCCAAAAAGUCCUUCUUAUUCUUCUGUCCUUCUUAUUCUUCCAUCCUGCUUGGAUUCCCCUUACCACCUCUCUUUCCAUUCUAUGCUUUUCAAUGUAACGUUGUCUGAAGUAUAAAAAUAAGAAAACUAUAAGAAACAACUAUUUUUGGCAUGGUUCCUGACAUGCCAGUAGCUGACACCCUUACGCGGUGUUAUUGGGAAGAAAGAAGCAAAAACAUGCAAAAGCAAUGGGCUGUGCCAUGACAGAUGUUGGCAAAAUGGCAGGUGCCAUGAGCACCUGCUAUUCUCCUGCAGAACACCUGCAGAACUUCUCCCAUAUUAAGCUGUUGAAGAAAUUUGACAGUGGCAUUGCCUCCAUCCUAGUUAAUGGCACUUUUUGCCCGCUUGCUCUGGCUCAUGUCUUGGGAAACGUCGUAUAUUGUUUAUGGCCACAAGAGCAAGCUACCAUUUUAGCCUGAAGAAGAAAUAAACUUUAUUUAAAGAGCCGGCACUUUUCUUUUAGUGGCCUUAGGUGUCGGCUCGAAGUCCUUGGACUUGGGCGGCAUCUUCGGCUUGCCGGACGGCCCAGAGCUGGUCUUCCAGCUCCGAACUUUUCAGGGCCGCCUCCCAGCGGCGGCGACGCCGACGGAGAAGGUCCCCGGCGGCCCCAGCAGCCGGGGCAAUAGCGGGAAUGAGCGAGCUCGAGGCUUUCUUUAAUCUAGUAAGGCCUGCCGUAUUGGGCGCGUCGCAAACGGCGGCAGUUUCGGUACCGUUGUUGCCGGCGUUAAUUUUUUCUUUAGUGCCCCUUUAAGCUGUAGGUUCUGUCACAGUAAAGAACUGCAUUCAGCCACUGUAGUUAUGCUCCAAGAGCUUCCUUCAAAUAUCUUGGCAUGUAUAUGCGUCUGUGUGUUUUUACUACCUUAACCAUAAGACAAAAUGUGUUUGCUUGUGAGAAUUGUAUAUAACACUUAUUUAUUGGGGAGACUGUUUUUAUGUAUAAAAUGGUGGUGAAAUGCCAUAAUACAAUUACAGUUUUAGUUUCAUUUAUGCUGUCUUCCAGAUUGUUUUUGGUGCAGGAACUUUUUUCCUCUAUAAAGAAAGUUUUAAGGUUUGUUGAGAUUUUUAUGUGUGUUUGCUAUGAGAAGUCAUGUUCAAUUAUAUAUACCUAUAUAUAUACACACAUAUUGUUAUAAUUGUACAAGUGCUCUUGAACUGCUGGUUUUAUGGCAACUCUGUCAUCCAAUGAAUGCUGUUUGCUAAGCCUCAGCAAAGUGCCUUCGGAAUUGCUGCUGCUAAUAAACGGUUAUUUCGGGAUCACUGUA
This is an RNA transcript of Dermacentor silvarum, 18252 nucleotides long. It is a transcript of the gene named ventricular zone-expressed PH domain-containing protein homolog 1, with no coding region annotated. The transcript is spliced from 18 exons. NCBI's taxonomy places the organism in Eukaryota, Metazoa, Arthropoda, Arachnida, Ixodida, Ixodidae. The record is from RefSeq and is a predicted model, not a curated record.